AACGAACGCUGGCGGCAUGCCUAACACAUGCAAGUCGAACGAGACCUUCGGGUCUAGUGGCGAACGGGUGCGUAACGCGUAGGAACCUGCCCUUAGGUUCGGAAUAACUCCCCGAAAGGGGUGCUAAUACCGGAUAAUGUCUUCGGACCAAAGAUUUAUCGCCUUUGGAUGGGCCCGCGUUGGAUUAGCUAGUUGGUAGGGUAAAAGCCUACCAAGGCGACGAUCCAUAGCUGGUCUGAGAGGAUGAUCAGCCACACUGGGACUGAGACACGGCCCAGACUCCUACGAGAGGCAGCAGUGGGGAAUAUUGGACAAUGGGCGAAAGCAUGAUCCAGCAAUGCCGCGUGAAUGAUGAAGGCCUUAGGGUUGUAAAGCUCUUUUACCCGGGAUGAUAAUGACAGUACCGGGAGAAUAAGCUCCGGCUAACUCCGUG
RNAcentral lists this ribosomal RNA (433 nucleotides) under uncultured bacterium. RNAcentral describes it as "partial 16S ribosomal RNA". It matches the Rfam family "Bacterial small subunit ribosomal RNA", at positions 29 to 507 of the family's 1533-position model. The record is from RNAcentral.